GGGCAAAACAGCCUUACACCUGGCUGUACCCAGUUAACAACCGAACUGGAAUGAUGUGCACUGUGUGCAAGAGGCACAGACAGCGUCAGAGGAACGGAGAGUACAUCUGGAGUGUUGUUCCAUGCACCAGCCUCCGGAAGGACCAUGUGCUACGUCAUCAUAAAUCGGAACAACAUACCGGAGCCUCCCUUAAAGAUCAGAAACGCUUGGCUGCGGAGGUGAACGGGGGAAUCAAGCAGGCCAUGGCAGAUAUGGUUUCCAUGAACCGAGAGGCCAUCAAAGCAGCAAUGAAGCUCGUCUAUCACCUAGCCAAGAAAGAAAUUCCCCACACUACGAACUUCAGAGAAAUGAUCAAGUUUGCCGGAUCAGAGUUAGGUAAGGGCAAAUUUAGCUUAUAUGUGGAAAUAAAUAAUUGACCUGCUGACCAAUGCCACCUACACAAUCACUACCAUCGCCAAUGAGUUCCUGGCAGUUAUUGCAGCCAUGGUUGAGGAGGAGACACUGGCGACGGUCAGGGACAGCCCCUUUUUGGGGCUCAUGUGUGAUGAGACGGUGGACAUAUCCACCACCAAUGAACUUGUUCUCUACUGCAGGUAUGUUACAGUUGAAGCAAAUGUUUGGUAAUAAAUUGCUAUGAUGUAAUUGUAAAAUAUGUGGCGUGUGACAUCUAAACAACUAUGUAUGUAAUAUCUGAUUAUUCUUCCCUUUUUGCCUAUGCCUGCUGCAGGUGCAUAGAUGGUGACGGCAACCUGCAGGUGAAAUUCCUGCAGGUCAUGCCACUUAAGGAUGGCAAAGCUGUCACCAUCAAGGAUGCCAUCACAGGGUACUUGGGAGAGAAGAACCUGUCCCUGCAGAAGGUGGCAGGGUUUGGCUCGGAUGGAGCUGCCUGUAUGAUAGGUGAGUUUGUGGUCUCUACAUUAGAUUUAAUACAUCCUGCAUUCCCUUAUCUAUCUUAAUCACUUAUCACAAAAUAAGAAGGAAAGGUAAUACAAUCCUAUUGUUCUAAAUAUUCCUUUCCAGGACGAAAAGGCGGUGUGGCCACGCUACUGAAACAGGACAAUGAAAAGAUUGUCAACAUUCACUGUGUGGCCCAUCGCCUUGCCCUGGCUGUUGGCCAAGCUGGAAGUCAGGUGAAGUACAUCGGAGAGACCUUCAAGCCCAACCUGUACACGCUAU
This 1176-nucleotide long non-coding RNA is filed under the name Gadus morhua (Atlantic cod). RNAcentral describes it as "lncRNA (ENSGMOG00000027048.1)". The record is from RNAcentral. Lineage: Eukaryota; Metazoa; Chordata; Actinopteri; Gadiformes; Gadidae.